Molecule: microRNA precursor, 88 nt
Organism: Medicago truncatula (barrel medic)
Lineage: Eukaryota; Viridiplantae; Streptophyta; Magnoliopsida; Fabales; Fabaceae
Rfam family: MIR2617 microRNA precursor family
Source: Rfam
AUGUAGUGUGACAUGUCCGUUUGGGAACUACUCUGAUGCAUGUUUAUUUAUUAUUAAAUUGAUUUUGGGUAACGGGGUGUUACAUACA